This 120-nucleotide ribosomal RNA is filed under the name uncultured bacterium. RNAcentral describes it as "partial 16S ribosomal RNA". It matches the Rfam family "Bacterial small subunit ribosomal RNA", at positions 32 to 147 of the family's 1533-position model. The record is from RNAcentral.
AAUCAACGCUGGCGGCGUGCCUAACACAUGCAAGUCGAACGCGAGGACCUCGCAAGAGGUUAGUAGAGUGGCAAACGGGUGAGUAACACGUGGGUGACCUGCCUUAGAGUGGGGGAUAAC